GAUGAACGCUGGCGGCGUGCCUAACACAUGCAAGUCGGACGGUGCCUUCGGGCACAGUGGCGCACGGGUGAGGAACACGUAGCCAACCUGCCCUGGAGCGCGGGAUAACGCCCCGAAAGGGGUAGGCUAAGACCGCCUACGCUCGCCGGAUGUAGAGGCCGGUGAGGAAAACCUAACGGUGCUCUGGGAGGGGGCGUGCGGCCCACUCAGGUAGUUGGUGGGGUAAGUGGCCUACCAAGCCGACGACGGGUCGGGGCGUGAGAGGAUGAUCCCCCACCACU
This 281-nucleotide ribosomal RNA is filed under the name uncultured bacterium. Its description in RNAcentral is "partial 16S ribosomal RNA". It matches the Rfam family "Bacterial small subunit ribosomal RNA", at positions 28 to 315 of the family's 1533-position model. The record is from RNAcentral.